RNAcentral lists this non-coding RNA (473 nucleotides) under Necator americanus (New World hookworm). Its description in RNAcentral is "Eukaryotic small subunit ribosomal RNA". It matches the Rfam family "Eukaryotic small subunit ribosomal RNA", at positions 637 to 1604 of the family's 1831-position model. Lineage: Eukaryota; Metazoa; Nematoda; Chromadorea; Rhabditida; Ancylostomatidae. The record is from Rfam by way of RNAcentral.
AAUCAAAAUAAAAUAAAACACUGUCAAUUGGAGGUAUUUUCUACUUUGUCAGCUCCAAUAUCUAGCGUUGCUUCUUGUGUUCCGUCUUCCUCUCUUUGUGUAAUCUCUGAUUUGCUACAACUGCAAAUAGUACGCAUGUGCAAAAUCGUUACUGCCAAUAUUGUCUGAGCAAGUAUUUUUAUUUUACAUAUUUCAUAUUAUUAUUUAUUGCAGUAGUGUGGGUGUGGCAUAGCGAUUAGAGGUUCCGCUUCCUGCAACGAAAGUCAGAGGUUCGAAGGCGAUUAGAUACCGCCCUAGUUCUGACCGCAAACCAUCCCAUCUAGCGAUCCAAUGGGGUAUUGUUGCCUUGUCGAAGAGUUUCCCGGAAAGUCUUUCAGUUUCUGGGGUAGUAUGGUUGCAAAGCUGAAACUUAAAGAAAUUGACGGAAUGACAUUCGGUAACUGAUUCUGUUGUGUCUGCAUAAUUGAUCAAAG